CCCUUAGAUGUUCUGGGCCGCACGCGCGCUACACUGUUCGACGCAGCGAGUCUUAACCUUGACCGAAAGGUUUGGGUAAUCUUCAACAAAGUCGAACGUGAUGGGGAUCGAUCAUUGCAAUUAUUGAUCGUGAACGAGGAAUUCCUAGUAAGUGCAAGUCAUCAGCUUGCGCUGAUUACGUCCCUGCCCUUUGUACACACCGCCCGUCGCUACUACCGAUUGAAUGGUUUAGUGAGAUCUCUGGAUUGACGCUGGCUAGGGGGCGACCCUUGGCCAGACUGUUGAGAAACUGCUCAAACUUGAUCAUUUAGAGGAAGUAAAAGUCGUAACA
This 331-nucleotide ribosomal RNA is filed under the name uncultured eukaryote. RNAcentral describes it as "partial 18S ribosomal RNA". It matches the Rfam family "Eukaryotic small subunit ribosomal RNA", at positions 1470 to 1796 of the family's 1831-position model. The record is from RNAcentral.